AUGGAUGCAGUAGAGAGCCGUCCAUCAACCACAUCGUGAUCAUGUGCAGGGACUCCUUGGCAUUCUUGUUCAUGUUAAAUCUCACAAGCCGGUGCACGCUCAACAAUAUUAUAUAUUGGUACACAAGAGGUUAAGGAAAUGGAAUAAGGUUCUUGCGUUGCUGUAUUUUGUCUUCGGCUAUUUGGAUUUUAUUCUGUGCACGUUAGUGCUCUCUGAUACAGCGAUACUACAGCUAGAUCAGUGACUGUAAAUAUGGGAAUUUUGAUCAUAUACUUUUUAGUGGUUCUGUAGAUAAAAAAACGGACAUCAUUCAUGGUUCUUGGUACUGUACUGAACAUAAUUUUGUUUUAAACUUCUUCGCAGACGUUUAUUCCAAUCGUAAUUGGAACGAAGUUUGAUCACCUGGUGAAGCUUCCUCUUCAGAUGCAAUGGACCAUUGUUAUUUGUUAAUGAGGGUUGUUUCAUUUGGUUUAGAGGAUCAAUAUUAAUUGUGAUACACACUUGGAAGAGAUUAUUUAGGGCCUUCUUAUGAUACAUCCUUGGAAAGGUAUUUUUUGUUAGAGGGUACAUCUGAACAUAUAUUUGGUGAUUUAGGACUCAUUGUUCGAUAUUCUUUAGGUCAGUGUAACUAAAUUUUUUGC
This is a non-coding RNA of Lolium perenne, 641 nucleotides long. Lineage: Eukaryota; Viridiplantae; Streptophyta; Magnoliopsida; Poales; Poaceae. The record is from RefSeq and is a predicted model, not a curated record.